This 74-nucleotide transfer RNA is filed under the name Saccoglossus kowalevskii. RNAcentral's name for it is "tRNA-Thr". It matches the Rfam family "tRNA". From Rfam's summary of the family: Transfer RNA (tRNA) molecules are approximately 80 nucleotides in length. Their secondary structure includes four short double-helical elements and three loops (D, anti-codon, and T loops). Further hydrogen bonds mediate the characteristic L-shaped molecular structure. tRNAs have two regions of fundamental functional importance: the anti-codon, which is responsible for specific mRNA codon recognition, and the 3' end, to which the tRNAs corresponding amino acid is attached (by aminoacyl-tRNA synthetases). tRNAs cope with the degeneracy of the genetic code in two manners: having more than one tRNA (with a specific anti-codon) for a particular amino acid; and 'wobble' base-pairing, i.e. permitting non-standard base-pairing at the 3rd anti-codon position. The record is from RNAcentral. Lineage: Eukaryota; Metazoa; Hemichordata; Enteropneusta; Harrimaniidae.
GGCGCCAUGGCUUAGUUGGUAAAAGUGACUGUCUAGUAAACAGGAGAUCCUGAGUUCGAAUCUCAGUGGUGCCA